CGUUACUGGUCGAAAGAUGUGCUUGAUUGUAGAGGAGAAGAAUCUAUACAUACACAAAUGAGUCUCUGGCGACUACUGGCUUAUGGUACCCUGCAUAUUGAAUUUGGUGUUUAACAACAAAAAGUGCAUGCAUUUGAAGAUGGUUUGUGGAAAAUUGAACACAGCUGCAAAAUUAAGCACAUCAUGAAACUAGAAGACUCAAAAUAGAAAAUCUUAGUCUCAGUGGAAAAGAAACAUACGUUCAGAGAAUCAGCAACAGAGCAGGAGUUAAUUUUUUUACUGUAAUGUAGCCCAUAGAAAUUACUUUUGCUAUAUUAAUGGAAUACAAUGAAACCUGGGUACUUCUUGCCUCACGAGAAAGUAUGCAACUGUUGGUCAAACUUUUCAGAUUUGGACCGAAUGUGUAUCCCUUCAGGUGCAACCAUGUUCUUCUGUCUAUAAUACUUCAUGGUCCAUUUGCUGGUCAAUGACCGAAUAAACUUAUCUAUCUAU
This is a long non-coding RNA of Hemicordylus capensis (graceful crag lizard), 492 nucleotides long. RefSeq lists it as uncharacterized. The transcript is spliced from 3 exons. The record is from RefSeq and is a predicted model, not a curated record. NCBI's taxonomy places the organism in Eukaryota, Metazoa, Chordata, Lepidosauria, Squamata, Cordylidae.